This 71-nucleotide transfer RNA is filed under the name Smittium simulii. It matches the Rfam family "tRNA". Rfam says of the family: Transfer RNA (tRNA) molecules are approximately 80 nucleotides in length. Their secondary structure includes four short double-helical elements and three loops (D, anti-codon, and T loops). Lineage: Eukaryota; Fungi; Kickxellomycota; Harpellomycetes; Harpellales; Legeriomycetaceae. The record is from Rfam by way of RNAcentral.
AGCACCAUAGCGCAGAGGAAGCGCGCAAGGCUCAUAACCUUGAGGUCCCUGGAUCGAAACCCGGUGUGCUA